UCUCUCCAGCCUCUCUGGGCUUCUAUUAAUAUUUUUAAUGUAUUCUCCCUUUUUUUUCCCCAUCUCUCCCUCUUUUGUCCUCGGCUGCGUUUUCCAUCCCGUCUCUCUGCUUACUCUGUGCUGCGUGUCAUGGCUUCCUGAUCAUCUCAGGUUUAUACACCAUAUAGACGGCCUUUAUCCUACACUGUAAACCCGGAUUUCAUAUCUAAUCAAACAUUUAAAGUAUAAUGUACUUACACGGCUCAAAUCGAUUAAGUUUUGAUUGCAUUACUAGCAGAUGUAAGUAUGUUAUACUAAUUUGUAGACCUAGUUGAGCCAGUGAAUAAUUUUAAGUGAAAUGGCUUCAAAUUCCCAAGUUUUAGUGAUGCAAUGCAUGAUGGGAACGUGAUCGCUGUCACUUUGCCGCCGAGAAGACGUCACUUUGCCGCCGUGUCCCUGCUUUUUGCCGAGAAGACGUCACUUUCUCGCCGCGCACCGGACGGUCCAGUGUCUACUAAAACUCGCCAGAGACGCGUCUUGGUGACACAGCCCGAUCCACGCUGAGCGAGGGACACGCACUCAGUGGGAAGAAGAGUACCACUGAGCCAACAGACAUCAGGUGCCUUUGUCUUCGGGGACUCCCUGUCAUUUUGGCGGAUGAUUCUUCUGCCUUCUUCAGAACAUGCUCUGAUGUAACUGACAAGGACUCGUACAGUGAAACUUCAGUGGGAAUUCUCUGCCUUGGUCAAGAAAAUACCCAGCUCAACCCAUCCAGAGUAGGGAUCAUCUUGGAAGGGUCUGUGGUAAUUGAUGAACUGUUGAACCUACCACAGGCCUUCUGUGUCCUUUUCGGCCUGAUCUAUGCCCUACACCUGGACUAC
Molecule: long non-coding RNA, 860 nt
Organism: Oryzias latipes (Japanese medaka)
Lineage: Eukaryota; Metazoa; Chordata; Actinopteri; Beloniformes; Adrianichthyidae
Source: RefSeq, a predicted model, not a curated record